Molecule: unclassified non-coding RNA, 888 nt
Filed under: Hevea brasiliensis (rubber tree)
Lineage: Eukaryota; Viridiplantae; Streptophyta; Magnoliopsida; Malpighiales; Euphorbiaceae
Source: RNAcentral
AAACUAUAUACGAUGCGCCAAUUUCUAAAUGGAAAUCCUUGACAAACAGGAGAUUGCAAAACUGGGGAGGCGUUGUGCAUGAAAAAGGCCUUAUAGCUCAAGACUUGCCUCCUUGGUUAACUAGAAUUACAGAGAGAAUAAAUGAGAAGUCGGGGUUAUUUCCAUCAUCAGUUAAUCAUGUGCUUAUCAAUGAAUACCUUCCUAACCAAGGAAUAAUGCCGCAUCAAGACGGACCAGCUUAUUAUCCAGUAGUGGCAAUUCUUUCUCUUGGAUCUCCUGUAGUUAUUGAUUUCACUCCUCAUCCUAAUUUGAGCUGCCGUGUUGGUGCACAUGGAAAGGGUGCUGAGGAAAAAAUGUCUGAUCAGGAGGCUGCUGUGAUGAAUUCUUUUGAAUGGCUUGAUAACUUCCAUCCCUUCUCUAUCAUAUUAAUGCCUCGCAGUUUGUUGAUAUUCAAAGAUAUGGUCUACUCAGAAUACUUGCACGGUAUAAAAGAUUCUGAGGUGCAUGGAUGUAACAGGGUUGUAAAUGUUACAAAUGUUCAGAAUCAUGGAGUAGUACAGCACUCGUCAGAUUCAGUGAAAGGGCUUGAUAGUGAUGACACUUUCAUUUGCAGGGCUAACACCAGAGUUUCUUUGACCUGUCGAGUAGUAACAAAGGUUCAUAAAAGUAUUUUCAAAUUCUAGUUUCAUUUAAGAUAAGAAACAAGUCAAUAUAUGCAACUAAGCGUGUGUAGAGAAUUGAGUCCAGGAUAAUUAAACCCCCUGCAGUAUUGUAAUAUUAGUAUGAUUGAUGUACGCCAGUUAUUGUACAGUGAAAAACUCCAUGAUUUAACUAUUUAAACGUGGCGUAGCUAGAUUAAUCUAUUCCUUUUCUUAGUCUGUGCAUAGU